Long non-coding RNA from Cercocebus atys (sooty mangabey), 7956 nucleotides. RefSeq lists it as uncharacterized. NCBI's taxonomy places the organism in Eukaryota, Metazoa, Chordata, Mammalia, Primates, Cercopithecidae. The transcript has 4 exons. The record is from RefSeq and is a predicted model, not a curated record.
ACAUUUCCCAUGAAGCCAUGGGCUCGGGCCUCCGGCUUCCCCGGUGACCAGUAGCCAAUGGGAGACGCCGCAGUGGGCACCUUGUGGGUGAGAGUCCAGCCUUGGGUCGGAGUGCCGGGUCUAGGCCUGGAGGCGCGAGGCGGGCAUUUCGGACGAGAGUGGCGCGGCGUGGGGCGCAGCGAGGGCACUACGCGCCCAGGAACUGCCGCGCCAACCUGAUUUUCCGCAGCUGUUUAAGGACUAGCGCUUCGGUAGCCGGGGAGCUGGAGGGAACCUGAUUUGAGAUCAAUUCUUGGAGAACACAAAGAAGUGUGAUGGAUUGAACCAGCUGCCCUUUGACCCUGCCAACAACAACGAGCCCCUGCAGUUUGGUAGUGCCAGUGGCCCUCUGGUCACAGAAGGCCUCAUUGAGAAUGGAGGGGAAUCAAGCAAGAAAAGAAAGAGAACAAAUACUCCUUCAGCCGAUAACAGUAGAACUCUGAAUGUGGAUUCCACUGCAAUGACACUACCUAUGUCUGAUCCAACUGCAUGGGCCACAGCAAUGAAUAAUCUUGGAAUGGCACCGCUGGGAAUUGCCGGACAACCAAUUUUACCUGGUAUGUUAUUUUUAAUCACCUCGCAAGUGCUUAUUUUUAUUGACCAUGUGGUAAUAAAUAUAGCAGUAUGACACAACUUAUUUUGAAGUUGACAUUUACCAGAUUCUGCCUAGAGUGUGCAUUUUUGUAAUAUGAGCUUUAUAGUCUGGGUAGCCGGUAGUUACUAGUAUACUCCUUUUUGCACUUUGGACAUGCUGGGGGUAUAUCCAAUGCAGGCUAGGGUCAUUGAAGCUUUAAACAGCUCUUUGAAAUACAAGGCAAGAGGAUUUUGGCGAGGAAUUACAAAGCUUGUGUAAUUUUAUAGAUUUCAUAGAGGAGGCAAAUAAACAUGGAGACAGAAAGAGAACUGACGUAGAUAUCUCCAAAAUCUUAGAUUCCUAGAGGAGAGAAAGGAGAUGGUGGAGGACAGCCCAAAGACUGUUUUUAACAUUGAAUAACUGUGUGUAAAUACACACACACAUACAUAUAUACAUAAACAAAGUAACCUGUAAUAGAACUGACAUGGUGGACUAACUCCACCUCCACUAAAGAUAAAAUGAGAAGCAGAACAUCACAGCACCUGAAGGGUUUUGUUUAGACACAGAAAAGCUUCCUGGACAGUGAGAGCUAAUUAAUCAUUACAAUGAAUUUUUGAAGACAUUUGGGAAUUGCCAUCUCAGGGAGCCUGAGGCAGCUUUUUAAACAGCUUAAACAUUAAUCUCCCCAGAUUCAAUUAAUUGUGACUCUACUUAAAAGCACAACAGGACCAGGCCAAUCUAGAACCUUGCUACUCAAAGUGUGCCCUGCAUAACCUGGGAACCACUUAGAAUCCCAGAAUCUCAGGCCCCAGCACAGACCUACUGAAUCAGAAGCUGCAUUUUCGCAAGAUCCCCAGGUGCUUCACAGGCACAUUAAAGUUGAUAAACAGAUUUAGAGUAAUGCCAUUUUGCCUUGCCAUUUAUUUAUAUAGUUAGCUACACCCCCCAAAAUAUUAUUUCACAAUUCCAGUGCAGAUUAUAAAUCCUUAUAAGUUAUAACGAGGGUGGGCUAUGCUAGACAGCAAUACUAAUAAUGAAUUAAGAAAUGUUGUUACAUCAAAAGCCAAGAAACAAGCAUAAAAGCAACCAAACAUGAAGAAAAAAAGGUAUGUGAAUAAGAAAUGGGUGGAGAAAAAAAAAGGAGUCUAAAUUCUAUAUGUGGCAGGUGCAAAGAACUCUGCCAAACUAUAAUUCAUACCAUAGGUUGUAGUUCACCAGACUGUAUUCUUCUCCAUUAGACCAACAACAAUUGAAAUGAACCACCAAACAUCCUUUGAGAGCUACAGUGAUUGGACCAUGGAUUUCCUUAGGUUUUGAAUGACUAGUGGGGCCAAUCUGGGAUCAGUGAAUGUUACUGAAGGAGCCAAUAUUGCAGAAUGGUUAAGAUGUCAGGUGCUGGAGUCAGUCUGCUUGGCUUCCAAGCCUGUUUCUUUCACUAUUUGAUCUCGAGCAGUUGUGUAUCUUCUGAGACUCAGUGUGCUCAUCUACAAAGUCAGACUAAUAGUGCCUAACUCCUAGGAUGACAAUUAAAUCAUGUUUAGCACAAUGGUACAUAGAAGGUGCUCAAAAAUGGCAGCUAUUAAAAUACUUCAAAAAUCAUUAUUAAUGUAUUUCUCAUAGACAUUUCUAAGGAAGUAACAAGUUUUGUAUUUAGUACCUCUUUAUUAUUUGAUUAUAAUAGAAUUUAAACUGAAAUAUAUAUUGUUUUAUAGCUCCAUGUAGAGUGUCCCUGAGUCACAACACUUAUAGUCUAAGAUGACUAGACAAUCUAAUUUGACUUAAAUAUUUCCAGUUUAUGACAGUCUGGACCAUAUGUGUAAAAGUCCCAGGAAAAAUAUUGAGGCCACAUCUGUGCUCUGGUCCAGGGGACUAAAUGUUAACUGAUACCAUAUGAUUUGUAAAUUAUCAUAUAUAAGCAUAAAUCUAUGCUCACAAAGUAAUAUUCAAUACUUAGCCACCCAUCUAUAACAUGGAAAAAGAAAGGCCUAGCAUUGAGAACAAAAAUUCCACCAAGCAAUCAUUACAGACCCAAAGCUUGAGCUGGGGUCAAUAAUAAGGCUAGAAAAUUGUGGUAAGUUUUCUUAACAGUGUGGUAGAGGGCUUGAAUCCUCAUAACAGUAUCUUGCUUAGUGCUUAACAACACAGGCCUUGAAGUUAGAGGAUUACCUGGGUUUGAGUCCUUGCUCUGCCACUUACUAUGUUACCUUAAGCAAGUUACUUGACCUGUCUGUUCCUCAGUUUUCUCAUCUGUAAAAUGGAGAUAAUGAUAGUGUCCUAGCUCAUAGGAUUGCUGUGGACAUUAAAUAAUAUACUUAGCACACUGCUUACCAUAUAAUAAGCACCCAAUAAAGAUAAACUGUCAUCAUUAUUACUACUCUUAGAAGUACUAUAUGCUCUGAUGUAGAGGAAGUACUAACAUACAUUCUUCAAAUCGCUGCUAAGCUCCCACUUAAAUUGAAAGUAUUUGGAUGCUAUGCAGCCACUGUCAACGCUAAUAUGCUAAUAAGCGUUCUGUACAUCCAGCUUCAACCAGACAUUUGAAACCUCAAGAGUAUUUUUAAUUUCUACCUUUGGCCCCCUUCUCCACAUCUUGUUUUCUUAACGACUGUAAAGAAAUGGUUUCUCUUUGACCUGUAAUUCAGUGAUUCUGCCUGCCACCAUGCUCCAGUGAAACUUACUUGACUGUUUGGAAACCUGGUCAUAGAAAUGCUGGUAUUAGUUCAGUAGUUCCCGUCUUGUCUUAAAGUGCAUGGGGCAAUAACAUCAGGCUGAGAUAUACUUUGUAAAGCUAUGUAUAAAAUCACUUAAGUUAUGUGUGAACUGGUUUUUCUUGUAUCUGUAUUAUUUUAGGAAGACAGUUUACCACUGAGAUUUGAACAAGGGUUCUAGAUCCAGAAUGCCUAUGUUCAAGUCUCUGUCAUUAACCAGUUGUGUGACUGUUGACAAGUUACUUCACUUCUCUAUGCCUCAGUUUCUUCAUCUGUAAAAUGCAGAUAAUAAUGACACCUGUGUUAUAGGGUUGUUAUGAGGAUUCAUGUGUUAAUACAUGUAAAGCCUUAGAAUGAUGCCUGGCUCACAGUAAUUCCUCAAUUAACUCAGCUAUUAUUAUUGUUUCAAGUUCACAUGUGCGAUGUGGCUCACAAAAAGUUGAAUUAUGACUCAUCUUUACCUUUAACAACAGUGAAGGACAGUAAAGGCAAGGGUGAAAUUUUUCCCUGGUGAAAUACUGGACAGCAACAGGUGAAGAGAAUAGUAUAUGUCUAACAGUACUGAUGCCUGUUCCUUAUAAAUCUGUUGGGGAUUUUCACAGAAAUGGAAGGGUGGCACGACACUCCAAUGCUGCCUACCUUUCUUCUUGCCAGGGUCUGGAGAACAGAGUGCCUGCCAUCUUUACAAUGGGUUAAAACAUCUCCCUGAUCAGCUCCCCACACCUCAAGAUUUCUUAAAAUGGAAAAGGCAGCAAAUAAGCCUCAUGGAGCUGUUGCCUGAAGUCACCCAUCAAAGGCUCAGUAAUUCAGCUACUUUUAUGUUCCUCAGGAGGUUUCCUACUGAGCCAGCAGACUUUUCUUUGUCCUGUCUCAUCUGGCCUGUCUGUGACAGUAGAGAAGUCUUUUGACAUUGAUGAAAAACAAGUGAUAAUGUAAGCUUCCUUCACUGCCCCUAGAGACCUCUAAUCUAUACUGUCAUGGAUACUGAGUCUCUUAGACACACACUUGUCAUGAAGGCAAUGUCUGGCAUAGUUAUUAUAUUCAUUGAGUAGGGAGUAGAAACAGGCUAUCUCUGAGGUUUGGUGUGGAGUUCCCUUUCAACUAACAUGGUGUUUUGUACUGCUGUGGUUCAAUAAAGUUAAUCCAUAAUGAUGGCAGAUCAGGCGGUCCCCUCUGGCUAGCAGCUGUCUUUCCUGCAAGAGUAUUUGCUUUGAGAAGCUGGUCAAAUAAGACUAAUGUUAGUGGAGCUCAAUAGAGUCAGGCCCUCUGGUUAAAGAACAUUCUGCCCCAGUCAUUCCAGAUGAAUCCAAGGAUGGACCCAUUAAGGGCUACUUGUUGAAUACUGCCUGCUGCUUCUUUUAUUUUCCCCUCAAUUAAAAUAUCCUUAGCAGCCAAGUGUGGAGCCUGUGAAGUCCAAAAAGAGAAGAGUUCCUCAUUAUGAUGUCCCCACUGUAUUGAUUGUGUCUGCUCCAUAAUGAAAGAUAUUGGAAAAUAUGGACUCAUGGACCUUAUUCUCAGAGCAAAGCCCUUCUCAUUCUUAAGGAGGCAGUUAUCACUGGACCCAACAGGCCAACUCUGAUGGGAACAGAAAGAAAGAAGGAGUUUGUAUGAUGAUGACAGACCACUGUUCUGCAAGCUCCUCAGGAAGGCCUGGCCUUCGGUUUGUAUUAUUUUUAAUAUCUGCCACAAAUAGAGUAUGCUUUUAGUGGCAAAAAGUUACGAUCCUGAGAAAGGAGAGCACUGUUCAUCAUCAUAGUAUAUAUGUUACCAAGAGCCAAUAAUAUGUAAACAUUAUAUAUACCAGAUAAAAUUAAUGUCUCUUCAAAACAAACCUGAAUUCAAGCUACUGAUGGUACUCUCAAGAUUCACCAUGGAGCGUAUCUACACCUGGAGAUAUUCAUUUAAAUCUCCUCCAUGCCAUCAAGCUCCCGUAGUAACACAACAGCUGGCAGUUAGCUGUUGUGCCAGAUCAUCCUUUCAAAAACAAAAAGACAGAGGCAUCAUCAUUUGGUUUGGACAUAACUGAGACCCUGCUUUUAUGAAUAUGAAUUAGUUCUAUAUUGUAUAGCUGAAAAAGUUAAAAAUGUUUUAGUUAUUUAUCUUGAUAUUACAGAAGUACUUUACUUCAACAAAAAUGUAUGAGUUUUUAUGAUCUAUAUAUUGUCAUAUUUUUCUUUGGGAACAAGCACAUCAUGAUUUUGACUUGAGUACUGGCAACAACAAGAUUAACUGGGCCACAGAAGGACAAACAGGAGAUGGUCAAUGUAAUAGAGACUGUGUAUUGAGGUCCCCGCAAAGAACGAGGUCCUAUCUCCCAGAGAAGACACCACAAAAUACAGAUAGUGAGGCGCUCUACAUCACAGUCUGUGUAGGUGAAUGCUGUGGAGCUGUUUUCUCGUGGAAAUAUUUUAAACUAUUUAAAGCCUUUGGAAGAGUAUGUGAAGCUCAAGGGCCAGAGGAUCUUUGAGAGAAGAAUUUCAUGACCUUAACUAGCUGGAAUAAGUAAAUGCACAGUGAUAGGAACAAUCAUUAAAAAAGAAAAGACUCCCCAUGGAAACUAUUAGGAGCAGGAGCUGAGUCAAACUAUUUGCUUAUUCAUUCAUUCAUACAAGAAAUAUUCACUGAAGCCUGCCAGUAUAAAGGUACUGUGAGAAGCACCAGGGAGAAAGCAAUGAACAAAAAAGACAAAGUUUCCUAUCCUCAUAGUGACUCCAAUACUUUUAGAACUUCCACACUCUCUCCCUAAUCCAACAUGUUCUCAAAUAUGAGCUGGCUCUUCACUGACAACAGCUCAAAGGCCUUCCUUUCAUUUUAUUCAUUUGUUCUUUUAUUUAUCCAUCCAUUCAUCGAAGAUCUAUUGAGCUAGAUAUAGGGGAUCCCAACAUGGGCAUGGCGCAAUCCUUGCCUUCAAGCUCAAGUUGCAGUGACAGAGGCAACAAAGUAAAUAUCACUAUACUAUAAUGUUGCAAGUGUCAUAACAGAAACUUCUAAAUAAGUAUAUUUUAGCCCAGGUAUGGUGAGGGGAAAUGCUAGGUAGAUGGCGGUGGUCAGAAAAGGUUCACAAAAGAGGUAACAUUUGAGCUAGGUGUCCAGGGAUAUAUAGGAGUAUGUCAGGAGGAUAAAAGAACUAAGAACUGUGUAGGCAGAGGAAACACUGCAUCAAUUAUUGGAAGGUAUGCAAGGGUAUACAGUAUGGAGACAGUGGUUAACUAUUGAGUUACAUCACCUCAUUCAGCAAAGACUUUGAGGCAGCUUAUAAGAAAGAUUACAGUAUAUGAAAAAAUACAAUAAUUUAUAAAAAAUAAAAUAAAAUAAAUCAGCAUCUGGGAAAAUAUAAAUGAGAAUACAAGACAAAGACCAGGUAGGAAGUUAAUUAAAAUUCAGGUGUGUAGGUCAUAGAAUCCCACCUGAUUUCUGAAGUUGAGCUGCCCCUGUGACAAAGCAGCCAAAACAAAAAAGGGAAACCUGAUCAGUUAUAUAAUUUGCAUUUUUCCAUGAAGAAAAAAUACACCAGUCCUCAGGGGAAGUGAAGCUUUUCAUGGCCCUUAAUAAUGUGUGUAUGUGUGUGUGUGACAUUCUAGUUCUGAAAGAAGUUUUUCACAGGAAGUUUCAUAUAUAGGGGAGCACGCUAAGUGAAAUGGUUGAGUGAUCUGAAAAGCCCAAACACUGGUGUGUAGGCCACGACCCUUCUAUGGCAAAAUGUAAAAACUAAAAAUGUAGUAAAUUUGUCAUGAAGCUAAAUUUGCUCAAUUGAAAGGACUGCCCUUUAUUCUGAGGUGAUAGACUUCCUGUAUUUUUGAUUUUAAAAUGUUCUUUCUUUUAUGAACUGUAUGAAUAGGAUAUUGGUUAGUUUCUUUGUUACUUUUUCCCCACUUCUUUUCUUGCCAAAUUAAGAGGCUGGUGACCUUAAAUAUGCAUAUAAUUUUAUUCAUUUCCAAAAUCCAGAAAUCUGGGAACCACAGAUGUAGUGGGAAAUGUCCUCACUAAUGCCCCUCCAAAGGUGAAUACCUUUGGAGGGCAUGACUCUGGACCUGUCAAAUGUUCUAAAAAGGCAAGAACACAGUGUAAAUGAAUAAAAAGGAAUUGAGGGAAGAUGGGCUACAAAGGGAGAUUUUGCAAAACCUUGCACUAAAGGAAUAAAGCUCCACUGGUGGAAAUUUGAGAUAUGUUUGGGAGGACCUUUGUGAACUGAAAUUGUGCCACAUAACCCACCAAUCCCAGGUUGCCAGAUUGUUUGCUGUUGUACAUGAGCCAGGCCGUGUCUCACCUUUCCAGCUGAGCUGAAACAAGUGUUUAGAUGAUCUUUUGGGGAAACCGGACAGAUGUCGGUAGAAUUUGAGAGUCAUUGUGUAAAACUUUGGGAACUUGUGCCUCCAAGAGGGCUGGUGAGAAGUCCAGAAUCAUCUCACAGCUCAGCCAGGUUGUGCUUGGAAAUCUGUGUUCUCUCUUCAGAUUAGAAGAGAGAUACAAGGUUCAGUAGGUAGAUACUAAUCUGACAAAGACUGCCUAAAAAGUCUCUUAAAGGAUCUAUGUAGAAAAGAGACAGGACUAUAAUGGGUUAAAAUUUCCCAGUACACAGGCAUAAUUCUUAAUUUUCCAAUGAAUUUUGUAGGAACUCUAAAGAAAUAACAAUAA